CCUACGGGAGGCAGCAGUGAGGAAUAUUGGUCAAUGGUCGGGAGACUGAACCAGCCAAGCCGCGUGAGGGAUGAAGGUACAGAGUAUCGUAAACCUCUUUUGUCAGGGAACAAAGGCGGGGACGCGUCCCCGGAUGAGUGUACCUGAAGAAAAAGCAUCGGCUAACUCCGUGCCAGCAGCCCCGGUACUACGGAGGAUGCGAGCGUUAUCCGGAUUUAUUGGGUUUAAGGGGUGCGCAGGCGGUCUGUUAAGUCAGCGGUAAAAGCCCGGGGCUCAACCCCGGCCCGCCGUUGAAACUGGCAGUCUCGAGUUGGAGAGAAGUAUGCGGAAUGCGCGGUGUAGCGGUGAAAUGUAUAGAUAUCGCGCAGAACUCCGAUUGCGAAGGCAGCAUGCCGGCUCCACACUGACGCUGAGGCACGAAAGUGUGGGUAUCGAACAGGAUUAGAUACCCCGGUAGUC
Molecule: ribosomal RNA, 459 nt
Filed under: uncultured bacterium
Lineage: Bacteria
Description: partial 16S ribosomal RNA
Rfam family: Bacterial small subunit ribosomal RNA
Source: RNAcentral